AUUGAACGCUGGCGGCAGGCCUAACACAUGCAAGUCGAACGGUAACAGGAAGAAGCUUGCUUCUUUGCUGACGAGUGGCGGACGGGUGAGUAAUGUCUGGGAAACUGCCUGAUGGAGGGGGAUAACUACUGGAAACGGUAGCUAAUACCGCAUAACGUCGCAAGACCAAAAAGGGGGACCUUCGGGCCUCUUGCCAUCGGAUGUGCCCAGAUGGGAUUAGCUAGUAGGUGGGGUAACGGCUCACCUAGGCGACGAUCCCUAGCUGGUCUGAGAGGAUGACCAGCCACACUGGGACUGAGACACGGUCCAGACUCCUACGGGAGGCAGCAGUGGGGAAUCUUGGACAAUGGGGGCAAGCCUGAUCCAGCCAUGCCGCGUGGAUGAAGAAGGCCUUCGGGUUGUAAAGUCCUUUCAGCGGGGAGGAAGGGAGUAGAGUGAAUACCUGUGCUCAUUGACGGUACCCGCAGAAGAAGCACCGGCUAACUCCGUG
RNAcentral lists this ribosomal RNA (490 nucleotides) under uncultured bacterium. RNAcentral describes it as "partial 16S ribosomal RNA". It matches the Rfam family "Bacterial small subunit ribosomal RNA", at positions 30 to 507 of the family's 1533-position model. The record is from RNAcentral.